RNAcentral lists this ribosomal RNA (310 nucleotides) under Bacteroides sp. RNAcentral's name for it is "partial 16S ribosomal RNA". It matches the Rfam family "Bacterial small subunit ribosomal RNA", at positions 1 to 298 of the family's 1533-position model. Lineage: Bacteria; Pseudomonadati; Bacteroidota; Bacteroidia; Bacteroidales; Bacteroidaceae. The record is from RNAcentral.
CUUUUACAAUGAAGAGUUUGAUCCUGGCUCAGGAUGAACGCUAGCUACAGGCUUAACACAUGCAAGUCGAGGGGCAGCAUGAUUGAAGCUUGCUUCAAUCGAUGGCGACCGGCGCACGGGUGAGUAACACGUAUCCAACCUGCCGAUAACUCGGGGAUAGCCUUUCGAAAGAAAGAUUAAUACCCGAUAGCAUAGUUUCCCCGCAUGGGGUUACUAUUAAAGGAUUCCGGUUAUCGAUGGGGAUGCGUUCCAUUAGGCAGUUGGCGGGGUAACGGCCCACCAAACCCACGAUGGAUAGGGGUUCUGAGAG